Molecule: non-coding RNA, 75 nt
Organism: Myotis davidii
Lineage: Eukaryota; Metazoa; Chordata; Mammalia; Chiroptera; Vespertilionidae
Source: Rfam
GGUAGUUCUCAGGUGACGACCCCUGGAAUCGGACUCCCUCCUCUCUGGUUCCGGGUAUGUCACCCGAGAACCGCA